Molecule: ribosomal RNA, 1281 nt
Filed under: uncultured Ralstonia sp.
Lineage: Bacteria; Pseudomonadati; Pseudomonadota; Betaproteobacteria; Burkholderiales; Burkholderiaceae
Description: bacterial SSU rRNA
Rfam family: Bacterial small subunit ribosomal RNA
Source: RNAcentral
GCAGUCGAACGGCAGCAUGAUCUAGCUUGCUAGAUUGAUGGCGAGUGGCGAACGGGUGAGUAAUACAUCGGAACGUGCCCUGUAGUGGGGGAUAACUAGUCGAAAGAUUAGCUAAUACCGCAUACGACCUGAGGGUGAAAGUGGGGGACCGCAAGGCCUCAUGCUAUAGGAGCGGCCGAUGUCUGAUUAGCUAGUUGGUGAGGUAAAGGCUCACCAAGGCGACGAUCAGUAGCUGGUCUGAGAGGACGAUCAGCCACACUGGGACUGAGACACGGCCCAGACUCCUACGGGAGGCAGCAGUGGGGAAUUUUGGACAAUGGGGGCAACCCUGAUCCAGCAAUGCCGCGUGUGUGAAGAAGGCCUUCGGGUUGUAAAGCACUUUUGUCCGGAAAGAAAUCGCACUUACUAAUAUUAGGUGUGGAUGACGGUACNGGAAGAAUAAGGACCGGCUAACUACGUGCCAGCAGCCGCGGUAAUACGUAGGGUCCAAGCGUUAAUCGGAAUUACUGGGCGUAAAGCGUGCGCAGGCGGUUGUGCAAGACCGAUGUGAAAUCCCCGGGCUUAACCUGGGAAUUGCAUUGGUGACUGCACGGCUAGAGUGUGUCAGAGGGGGGUAGAAUUCCACGUGUAGCAGUGAAAUGCGUAGAGAUGUGGAGGAAUACCGAUGGCGAAGGCAGCCCCCUGGGAUAACACUGACGCUCAUGCACGAAAGCGUGGGGAGCAAACAGGAUUAGAUACCCUGGUAGUCCACGCCCUAAACGAUGUCAACUAGUUGUUGGGGAUUCAUUUCCUUAGUAACGUAGCUAACGCGUGNANNUGACCGCCUGGGGAGUACGGUCGCAAGAUUAAAACUCAAAGGAAUUGACGGGGACCCGCACAAGCGGUGGAUGAUGUGGAUUAAUUCGAUGCAACGCGAAAAACCUUACCUACCCUUGACAUGCCACUAACGAAGCAGAGAUGCAUUAGGUGCUCGAAAGAGAAAGUGGACACAGGUGCUGCAUGGCUGUCGUCAGCUCGUGUCGUGAGAUGUUGGGUUAAGUCCCGCAACGAGCGCAACCCUUGUCUCUAGUUGCUACGAAAGGGCACUCUAGAGAGACUGCCGGUGACAAACCGGAGGAAGGUGGGGAUGACGUCAAGUCCUCAUGGCCCUUAUGGGUAGGGCUUCACACGUCAUACAAUGGUGCAUACAGAGGGUUGCCAAGCCGCGAGGUGGAGCUAAUCCCAGAAAAUGCAUCGUAGUCCGGAUCGUAGUCUGCAACUCGACUACGGAAGCUGGAAUCG